GCCCACGUCGUCUAGCGGUCAAGACCCCGGCUUUUCAACCCGGGGAGGCGGGUUCGACUCCCGCCGUGGGUA
RNAcentral lists this transfer RNA (72 nucleotides) under Gemmatimonadaceae bacterium. RNAcentral describes it as "tRNA-Glu". It matches the Rfam family "tRNA". Rfam says of the family: Transfer RNA (tRNA) molecules are approximately 80 nucleotides in length. The record is from RNAcentral. Lineage: Bacteria; Pseudomonadati; Gemmatimonadota; Gemmatimonadia; Gemmatimonadales; Gemmatimonadaceae. RNAcentral also lists the same sequence under 1 other name.